Molecule: long non-coding RNA, 3712 nt
Organism: Myxocyprinus asiaticus (Chinese sucker)
Lineage: Eukaryota; Metazoa; Chordata; Actinopteri; Cypriniformes; Catostomidae
Exons: 6
Source: RefSeq, a predicted model, not a curated record
UGGCUCACAUUUAACAAAAACCCACCAAUUCACUAUCUCAAAAAAUUAGAAUAUGGUGACAUGCCAAUCAGCUAAUCAACUCAAAACACCUGCAAAGGUUUCCUGAGCCUUCAAAGUGGUCUCUCAGUUUGGUUCACUAGGCUACACAAUCAUGGGGAAGACUGCUGAUCUGACAGUUGUCCAGAAGACAAUCAUUGACACCCUUCACAAGGAGGGUAAGCCACAAACAUUCAUUGCCAGAGAAGCUGGCUGUUCACAGAGUGCUGUAUCCAAGCAUGUUAACAGAAAGUUGAGUGGAAGGAAAAAGUGUGGAAGAAAAAGAUGCACAACCAACCGAGAGAACCGCAGCCUUAUGAGGAUUGUCAAGCAAAAUCGAUUCAAGAAUUUGGGUGAACUUCACAAGGAAUGGUUGAGGCUGGGUCAAGGCAUCAAGAGCCACCACACACAUAUGUGUCAAGGAAUUUGGCUACAGUUGUUGUAUUCCUCUUGUUAAGCCACUCCUGAACCACAGACAAUGUCAGAGGUGUCUUACCUGGGCUAAGGAGAAGUAGAACUGGACUGUUGCCCAGUGGUCCAAAGUCCUCUUUUCAGAUGAGAGCAAGUUUUGUAUUUCAUUUGGAAACCAAGGUCCUAGAGUCUGGAGGAAGGGUGGAGAAGCUCAUAGCCCAAGUUGCUUGAAGUCCAGUGUUAAGUUUCCACAGUCUGUGAUGAUUUGGGGUGCAAUGUCAUCUGCUGGUGUUGGUCCAUUAUGUUUUUUGAAAACCAAAGUCACUGCACUCGUUUACCAAGAAAUUUUGAAGCACUUCAUGCUUCCUUCGCUGACCAGCUUUUUAAAGAUGCUGAUUUCAUUUUCCAGCAGGAUUUGGCACCUGCCCACACUGCCAAAAGCACCAAAAGUUGGUUAAAUGACCAUGGUGUUGGUGUGCUUGACUGGCCAGCAAACUCACCAGACCUGAACCCCAUAGAGAAUCUAUGGGGUAUUGUCAAGAGGAAAAUGAGAAACAAGAGACCAAAAAAUGCAGAUGAGCUGAAGGCCACUGUCAAAGAAACCUGGGCUUCCAUACCACCUCAGCAGUGCCAUAAAAUGAUCACCUCCAUGCCACGCCGAAUUGAGGCAGUAAUUAAAGCAAAAGGAGCCCCUACCAAGUAUUGAGUACAUAUACAGUAAAUGAACAUACUUUCCAGAAGGCCAACAAUUCACUAAAAAUGUUUUUUUUAUUGGUCUUAUGAUGUAUUCUAAUUUUUUGAGAUAGUGAAUUGGUGGGUUUUUGUUAAAUGUGAGCCAAAAUCAUCACAAUUAAAAGAACCAAAGACUUAAACUACUUCAGUCUUUGUGCAUUGAAUUUAUUUAAUACACCAGUUUCACAAUUUGAGUUGAAUUACUGAAAUAAAUGAACUUUUCCACGACAUUCUAAUUUAUUGAGAUGCACCUGUAUGCUUUGAACUCCACCAGCCAGGUUACUCAGCUCCAACCUUGUUUUCCCUGGGCUACACAGAGUGAUCGCCUUCAUUGGGAGCAUCCUCUGCCUUUUAAUCGGGACAUAGUGGGGUUCCUGUCUGAAAAUAUGGCAGGAAGACUGAUUGAGAUUCCCAACUUUGAAUCUCUCCAUUUACUGGAGCCUCAUGGCUUGUUGUCCACUGAGACUCACACAAGUUCCACAUUGGGCAGCUCACUCUUUCACCCAGCCUUCCCUGGUUUACCCAGGGUUUCCACACUCUUUCCACAAAUCACAGGAAUGUGGCCAAUGCUAUUGUGCCCUCUGUUCCCCGUUCGCAAAACUUUGGUGGCAUGAGUGAAUGAAACACCUUGCAGUGUAACAGUACAUGUUCUUCCUACACACUGUCCUUUUGGAUCUUCUGUCCUUUCAGACUCAAGAAAUUAUAUGUUGAGUUCCAGGAAGGAUUUAGAAUUGUAUGAAGCAACACCAGGAUGCUGGCAGGGUCUCUCCAAGCAACUGAGGAAGUGGCUGCACUUCAAGCCCAUCAAAACAUGGAGGCUGCUUAAAAAGCGGUCCUCAACAAAGUGCAGUCAUGUUUGAUUUUCAGAUGCAGGUCAACAAAGAUACUUCACAGCUUCCUUUACAAGGAAACAAAUACAGAAUUAGAGCAUUAAAAUAAAUAACUUGUUUGACUGAUUAUCAUCUAAGAAGUUCAACCACAUCAGGUUUUGCUACAGCACUGCUAAUAGGGGAGACCGGGCCUGUUGUCACUGAUUACACAAGUGCAUAUUUCUCAGGGUGGGGUUAUUUUUGAAAGUCAAUGUAUGGACAUGAAGUCUUGACUAUAGAAAAGGCUAUUGAACAUUUCCAUUGUUAUUGCUCAGGAAAAAAAGUACAGUUCACUUAACACACACUGACAACAGCAAGUCAUAACAAGUGAUAUUCAUCUGGACAGGCAGGCAAAAAAUGGACUACUGUAGCACAGAUCAGAAUUUACCCUCCUACAUGUAAACAUACUGUAAGCAAGUAAACAUCACUGUAAUGUGUUUAUCAAUAGGUCUUUUGUUCAAAUAGAGAGGAUCUAGAGGUCUAGAGACUAUUUAAUUAUUUUUACAUGAACCUUAUCUGCCUUUGAAGUUCAACUAGCUUACUGGUAGUUGAUAAUAAUAAUAAUGCUUAACUAAUAAUUAACUAGCAAUUUAUUAUUGGUCCUGUUUUUAUUGUAUUUUUAUUUUUUUUUAUUUCAUACCUGCUGAUAUUGAUUUGAAAAUGAAUAUAAAAUUAAAUUAAAUUUGACAUAUUGUCUUUCUGUAUGAGGAUAGUGAGGUAGUGGGUAAGUUAAGCUACUAAAUGUAUCUAGGAAUCAUAAAAUUAUUACUGUGUGAACAUAUGAUCAUAAGGAACCCAUAAUUGUUAACAUCUGAAACUGAGAAGGUAAAUGUAAAGUAUGUUUAAUGCUAACGCUGUUGGCAUGUCUUGCUGGUGUCGUUACGGAGUGUAUUUCUGAAUUUUAUUUACAUCUCUUUUAAAGGGAUAGUUCACCCAAAAAUGAAAAUUCUUGCAUCAUUUACUCAUCCUCUUGCCUCCCCAGAUGUGUAUGACUUUAUUUCUUCUGCAGAAUACAAAUGAAGAUUUGUUAGAAAAUAACUCAGUUCUGUAGGUCCAUACAAUGCAAUUGAAAGGUGGCCAGUGCACAUAAAGGCAGCAUAAAAGACUCCAGUGGUUAAAUCCAUAUCUUCUGAAGCGAUGUGAUAGGUGAGGGUGAGAAACAGAUCAAUAUUUUAGUCCUUUUUUACUAUAAAUCUCCACCUUUGACCAGACCUGACCAGUAGAUGGUGAUAUGCAUAAAAAAUGCAAAUUACCAAAAAACAAAAGAAGAAUGUGAAAGUGGAGAUUUAUAGUAAAAAAAUGACUUAAAUAUUUGUCUGUUACUCACCCAAACCUAUUAUAUUGUUUCUGAAGACAUGUAUUUAACCCCUCAUAUGGAUUACUUUUAUGCUGCCUUUAUACGCUUUUUGGAGCUUCAAAGUUCUGGACAACCAUUUACUUGCACUGAAUGAACCAACAGAGCUAAGAUAUUCUUCUAAAACCUUUGUGUUCUGCAGAAGAAAGAAAUUCGUGCAUAUCUGGGAUGGCCUGAGGGUGAGUAAAUGAUGAGAGAAUUUUCAUUUUUGGGUGAAUAAUUCUUUUAAAUAUAACAUUAUACUUGGUGAAUCUUUGUGUUUCAGUUAUAGGAGAUACAAAAGGAUAUAAUAACAACUUUUUCAAACAGA